RNAcentral lists this unclassified non-coding RNA (233 nucleotides) under Schoenus apogon. The record is from RNAcentral. Lineage: Eukaryota; Viridiplantae; Streptophyta; Magnoliopsida; Poales; Cyperaceae.
UCGAUUGCGAGAACACGACCGUCGCGCACGUCAACCCUGGCGCCGGGAGGGCAGCUAGCUAGCUGGCUGUCCCCUCGGCCGUCGGCCCGGCCUCCCCGCUCGCCGUCCCGGCGGGCGCGGUGGCCUUGCCGGCACAAAAAUACGGCGCGGAUCGCGCCAAGGAACACGAUAUGCAGAGGCGGCCCGCGGAGCGCUACGGCGCGCCGCCCGCCGCCGACGCAAGAGAUAUUGAC